GCCGGAUUAGCUCAGUUGGUAGAGCACAUCAUUCGUAAUGAUGGGGUCAGAAGUUCGAAUCUUCUAUCCGGCACCA
This 76-nucleotide transfer RNA is filed under the name Gammaproteobacteria bacterium. Its description in RNAcentral is "tRNA-Thr". It matches the Rfam family "tRNA". Rfam says of the family: Transfer RNA (tRNA) molecules are approximately 80 nucleotides in length. Their secondary structure includes four short double-helical elements and three loops (D, anti-codon, and T loops). Further hydrogen bonds mediate the characteristic L-shaped molecular structure. tRNAs have two regions of fundamental functional importance: the anti-codon, which is responsible for specific mRNA codon recognition, and the 3' end, to which the tRNAs corresponding amino acid is attached (by aminoacyl-tRNA synthetases). tRNAs cope with the degeneracy of the genetic code in two manners: having more than one tRNA (with a specific anti-codon) for a particular amino acid; and 'wobble' base-pairing, i.e. permitting non-standard base-pairing at the 3rd anti-codon position. RNAcentral also lists the same sequence under 2 other names. Lineage: Bacteria; Pseudomonadati; Pseudomonadota; Gammaproteobacteria. The record is from RNAcentral.